UCAGUUCAGAUUGCAGGCUGCAACUCGCCUGCAUGAAGUCGGAAUUGCUAGUAAUCGUAGGUCAGCAUACUACGGUGAAUACGUUCCCGGGCCUUGUACACACCGCCCGUCAAACCAUGAGAGUUGGCAACACCCGAAGUCGGUAGUCUAACCGCAAGGAGGACGCAGUCGAAGGUGGGAUUGAUGACUGGGGUGAAGUCGUAACAAGGUAAC
This 213-nucleotide ribosomal RNA is filed under the name uncultured bacterium. Its description in RNAcentral is "partial 16S ribosomal RNA". It matches the Rfam family "Bacterial small subunit ribosomal RNA", at positions 1288 to 1500 of the family's 1533-position model. The record is from RNAcentral.